AGUGAACGCUGGCGGUAGGCCUAAUACAUGCAAGUCGAACGGCAGCACAGUAAGAGCUUGCUCUUACGGGUGGCGAGUGGCGGACGGGUGAGGAAUACAUCGGAAUCUACUUUUUCGUGGGGGACAACGUAGGGCAACUUACGCUACUACCGCAUAUGACCUACGGGUGAAAGCAGGGGAUCUUCGGACCUUGCGCGAUUGAAUGAGCCGAUGUCGGAUUAGCUAGUUGGCGGGGUAAAGGCCCACCAAGGCGACGAUCCGUAGCUGGUCUGAGAGGAUGAUCAGCCACACUGGAACUGAGACACGGUCCAGACUCCUACGGGAGGCAGCAGUGGGGAAUAUUGGACAAUGGGCGCAAGCCUGAUCCAGCCAUACCGCGUGGGUGAAGAAGGCCUUCGGGUUGUAAAGCCCUUUUGUUGGGAAAGAAAAGCAGCAGGUUAAUACCCCGCUGUUCUGACGGUACCCAAAGAAUAAGCACCGGCUAACUUCGUG
This 492-nucleotide ribosomal RNA is filed under the name uncultured bacterium. Its description in RNAcentral is "partial 16S ribosomal RNA". It matches the Rfam family "Bacterial small subunit ribosomal RNA", at positions 29 to 507 of the family's 1533-position model. The record is from RNAcentral.